This is a long non-coding RNA of Cebus imitator (Panamanian white-faced capuchin), 1558 nucleotides long. RefSeq lists it as uncharacterized. The record is from RefSeq and is a predicted model, not a curated record. Lineage: Eukaryota; Metazoa; Chordata; Mammalia; Primates; Cebidae. The transcript is spliced from 3 exons.
AAUGGGACCCUCAGGACCCCGCCCCGCGCCCUCGGGGCUCUUUAAAAACAGAUGGUUUGAUUUCACAGCGAGGCUUUUCUUCUUUUUCUUUUUGCAGGCAACACGACUGAAAUGUGAACGUUUCUGUUAAAAUACGCUCAGGAAAAAGUACAAUGUAUGUCAAACAGAUCUUAGGCACGUACCAGGAGGCAUUUUUCCUUCUCCCUUUCCCCUUCCCAUUUGCGUUCCUCCGGCAAGAGCGACGCCUGGCGAUGGGGCGAUGGGGCCGGCCCUCCCCUGCCCGGCUCCGGUCCUGCGCUAGGCCCACCUCGCAGCCGGUGUAAACCACAGCUUCCAGAAAACAGAAGCAUGUGAAGAUUCUACUGUUGUAAAAUAGCUUGGUUUUGUAAUGGGACAAAUGGAUUCCUUGAAUGUGCCCUUUCUCCCAUGCAAUGUGGGCCCAGUCUCCCGCCUCACUCAGGAGAGGCAUCAGAGCUGACGGUCUUUAGAUGAAUGAGACCUUGCUAUUAAGAAUCAGACAAUUUAUGUGUUCAUUUAUCUUUACCAAGUUCUGUACUAAAAUUAUCUAGGUGCUGCUCAUUUUAUAUUAUAGAAACCAUUUCUACAGGCUUUAACAAACUUAGAGUGUACCACUGAUUUGUUAAUCUUUACUGAACUUUCAAGUUAAUGGUAUUGUCAAGAUGACCCCUUGGAGUUCUCCAGUCACCAGAAACGUGUGCUGUCACCCCUUGUUCUACUCCUGGGACUGUGGGGCCCGUGGGACACGCAGAUAUGGAAAGUUGCCCUCCCUCUGCGUGGGUUUCACACCCUCCAGCUGCUGUGUUUUCGACCCACGUUUGAAAAAUAUCUGAAAGUGGACCGUUUCAAACCCCUGCUGUUCAAGAGUCAGCUGUAUUGUGUCAAUACAAUCUGAUGUGCUAAAUCCAUUGGCUGUGCUGGUAGUGCAAAGGAAAGCACCCCAGUUCUUUACUGUCAAAAACACAUGAAGCUGUUUUUGACAGAUGGCUCAGUCACUCCUCUACUUUUUGUGUAAAAUGAGGUAGUUGGUCUAGUUGAUGACGAAACUCUAAAACUACAUAAUACUAAGAUUAUUACCAAAAAAAAAUCUUAACCAGAUGCAGUGUUCCCUACAAAAAGCUGAAGGUAAUUCACUUGAAGUCAUUACGAUGAGUUCCAUCAUCUAUUUUCAGGAAUCAUUUAAUUCCUUCCUUUAGAACGUGAACAACAUUCUGCUCUCAAGGGUCCAGGACGCCAAAAAGAAAAGAGACAAAAUUAGCAACAAACUAUAUUCUAGGAUUACUGGGAAAAAUUUUUUUCUAGAUUUGAUUUAGUUGGUUAUUUUUUUGAGAAAACUAAGUUGGAUCAUAAGAAGAAAACUGAGCAGAGGAAAAAAGUCUGUAUUUAAUCUACUCUGACAGUACUAUAUAUGGGUCAUAAGAUGGGUGAGUUAUUUUUUUUUUCAAUCCAAUCCAUAAACAGGUUAAAGUUCUGAUGUUUUGACUGCAAUCUUUUUUUUCUUCACCCAGAAGGUACAUAUUUAAUUUUAGAUAAAUAUUAA